UCUCCGUUGGUGAACCAGCGGAGGGAUCAUUACCGAGUUUACAACUCCCAAACCCCUGUGAACAUACCUAUCGUUGCUUCGGCGGGACCGCCCCGUGGCCUUCGUGCCCGGAACCAGGCGCCCGCCGGGGACCCCAAACUCUUGUAUUUUUUGGAAUUAUCUGAGUGAAAAAACAAAUGAAUCAAAACUUUCAACAACGGAUCUCUUGGUUCUG
RNAcentral lists this unclassified non-coding RNA (214 nucleotides) under plant metagenome. Its description in RNAcentral is "partial contains small subunit ribosomal RNA, internal transcribed spacer 1, and 5.8S ribosomal RNA". The record is from RNAcentral.